This 83-nucleotide transfer RNA is filed under the name Cryomorphaceae bacterium. RNAcentral's name for it is "tRNA-Tyr". It matches the Rfam family "tRNA". From Rfam's summary of the family: Transfer RNA (tRNA) molecules are approximately 80 nucleotides in length. Their secondary structure includes four short double-helical elements and three loops (D, anti-codon, and T loops). Further hydrogen bonds mediate the characteristic L-shaped molecular structure. tRNAs have two regions of fundamental functional importance: the anti-codon, which is responsible for specific mRNA codon recognition, and the 3' end, to which the tRNAs corresponding amino acid is attached (by aminoacyl-tRNA synthetases). tRNAs cope with the degeneracy of the genetic code in two manners: having more than one tRNA (with a specific anti-codon) for a particular amino acid; and 'wobble' base-pairing, i.e. permitting non-standard base-pairing at the 3rd anti-codon position. Lineage: Bacteria; Pseudomonadati; Bacteroidota; Flavobacteriia; Flavobacteriales; Cryomorphaceae. RNAcentral also lists the same sequence under 4 other names. The record is from RNAcentral.
GGGGAGAUACUCAAGCGGCCAACGAGGGCAGACUGUAAAUCUGCUGGUGUACACCUUCGCAGGUUCGAAUCCUGCUCUCCCCA